GAAUUAUUAACUGAAUUUUUCAGUUUAAUAAUGUUGUUCUAGCUUGUCAGUUGUUUUUUAUUGUUUGUUGGUAUGUUUAACAAGUCAUAAAAUGUAUACACCUUCCUGUCUCUUGUGUGUGUGUGGAGGUGUAUUUGAUCACGUUUAGAAUAAAAUACAGAACCACAAACUAAAUUUUCCGGUUCAAUAGCAGACACACUAUACUUUCUGAGGCGCUUUCUACAAAAAGUAGGUACAAAAUAAAAUUUUGUUUGAUUUUUAAAUGAACGUGUAAUGUACAAAAGUAACAAUCUGAAAUCCUAAGUCCUACAUACAUUGGUGAGCUCCUUGCCGCCUUUUCUUUUCUUUUUUUUUUUUUAAGUUUUAUAGAUUUAUGUAUUAAUAUUUGGCCUUGAAAACAUACACAGAACUAUAGCUUCUCUUCAAGUCUUUUGAAUUUGAGGUUGGAUGGAUUGUUUAGAGUGGUCUUUAUAACUUUUAUUUGGGGGUGGACUAAAGGUUUUACCCAAUUCUCCCUAUUGAUAUCCCCUAGGCCAGACCACACUUACUUACAUGCUCUUUUGGCUACAGGCGCUAGAAUCCUUAUUUAUUUAUUUGUUUACUUACUUACUUACUUAUUUAAAAAGUUUAUUUAUUUUGAGAGAGGGAGAGAGAGUGCACUCACAAGUGGGGGAAAGGCAGAGAGAGAGAGAGAGAGAGAGCGAGCGCAAGAAUCACAAGCAGGCUCCACGCUGUCGAUGCAGAGCCUGAUGUGGGGCUCAGACUCAUGAACCAUGAGAUCGUGACCUGAGCUGAAACCAAGAGCCAGAUGCUUAACCCACUGAGACCCCCAGGUGCCCACAGAAUCCCAAUUCAAGUGAGGUUAGAAAAAAAAGUCAGUUUCCCAACAAUAAAGGAUUGUUUGCUCCACUUUCUCUGAGUAUCAACCUCCUUCUUCUCUCUCGUUGCAAGCAUUCUUUCAACACAUGAGAGAAACUUGACCUCUGAUAGCUCCUGAGCUUUGCAGCUGACCAAGUUGGCCACCUGCAGAGAAGCCACCUCAACUCUCUGGGCCCUAGGUCCAAGACCAGUGGGAAAACCCUCUCUGGGCCACAAGGUCUAGACACAGCAACUGUGAUAGGAGGAGGAGAGACGUGUGUGUGACGUUGUGUCAUAACUGGAGAUCCUGAGAGAACAAUCUGGAUAGGAUGACGGGAAAUUGUUCUCAGAAGAAGGAGGCAAUUCUGAGAAAAGAAUUACAUGUGAGCCUACCAUGGUAUUAUUGGAAAGAAAUGUGAGAGAAUGGGACUAAACGAUGAAUAAGGAACUAAUGUUGGACAUUUUAUGUGAGGGAAAGGGAGAAAAGAAGGUCAGGAGAUUUCCCUGAGAAAGUAAGGAAACAUGAGAAACUUUAGCCAAGACAAAGUGGGACAUAACCAAAACGUUGACAGAUGUUACACCCCGUUUACUUUCAAACACUUCAGUAAAAAACAAAUAGAUGCAACAGAGAUGGCAAGAUGUUAAUAUUAAAACUGGGCAAUGAGUAUAUAGAUGUUUUCUAAAGAGUGGCUCUCGGGGUGCCUGGGAGGCUCAGUCUAAGCAUCCGACUUUGGCUCAGGUCAUGAUCUCACAGGUUCAUGAGUUCGAGGCCCACAUUGGGUUCUGUGCUGAUGGCUCAGAGCCUGGAGCCUGCUUCCGAAUCUGUGUCUCCCUCUCUCUCUGCCCCUCCCCCACUCGCAUUCUGUCUCUCUCAAAAACAAAUAUUAAAAAAAGUAAAGUUUUGUCUGUUAAGUCUGAUAUUUGGGCUUCCUCAAGAACUAUUAACUUUUUUCUUCCUAUGAAUGGUUCUUUCUUUCACGUGUGACUUUGUAAUCUUUUCAUUGAAAACUUAAUAUUUUGAAUAUUCUCAUGUGGCAACUUUGGAAAUCACUUUUUCCCUCUCUCUCCAUGACGUGUUGUUGCUGUUUGUUGUAGCUGUUGUUGCUUGUUUUUUAAAUGACUUUUCUGAACUAAUUUUCAAAGUCUAUUCUUUGUCAUGUGUGGUCACUUAAGUUUCUGUUCCAUUAGUUUACUAGUCAGCUAGUGGUCAGGCAGAGAGUUCUUUUAAUCCCUGGAGUAAAAAAAAAAAAAGAAAAAAAAAAGCCCCCUAAAAACUCUCUCCAGUCUUUUCAGGUGGGCUCUGCGUUGUGGCACUCCUCGAUACUUGGCCGGGCCAUUUACUUCCUGCUUGCAUGGAGCUUGAAGGUCAGCCAAUGAGAAGAUCUUUGAAUCUUCUCGGGUCUUUUCUGAGCAUCUAUCCAGCCCAGGCAUGCAUGGAGUCUUCUAGUUCUCUGGAUUAAAUGGGAGCCUCUCAAAGCCCUUAUUCCCUGAAAUACGCCCUUCUCCAGCCUCUUUCUUCCCAGCAUUUUGGCUUUUCUGUCGCUUGCCCUAAUUGUUACCCUUUGCCACAGAUGGCAGCCGCUUAUACAUUUGCAGAUGUCACCCAGGAAACUGCCUUGGAGCUGAGGCGUGUGAAACAAAGGCAAGUCCUUGAGCAGAUCCUUCAAGGAGCUUACGGGGAGCUUCAGGGAGCUACUUAGGCCAAAACGUGGAUCCACGGUUCUUUGAGGUAAGAUAAGAUUGGUUCUGGUCCCUCCGGUACCAGUAACCUGCACCAGGAAAAUGGACUUCUGUCUUCAAGUCUGUAGCUGCGUUGGAGAUGGUAACAAGAUUCUAGAGUUCUGAAAAACGUCAUCGUGACAAUUCUUGCCAGCUUGUUCACUGCCUUUAUGAAGGGAUGAAGGUUUGGAGUUGUCUACUCUGCUGUUUUCAGAGACGUCUGUCCUGUGGAGAGAAUGGGUGACACGGGUGUGGUAGGUAUUCCUGAUUCCAACAAAAGGGCAGCAUCCGGUCCAGAUCCCUUCCGACUUACCUGGGAGUCUUGAGAGUUGGAUGCCUGAGGAGAUUUGUGGCUGAGCCCUGGAAAUCAUUGGCCUGCCCCUUCUGUGGGGUCUACUCUGAGGAACCCUAUUCCAUAACGUACGCACCUUCUGUCCAAGGUGCCUGGGCUCCUCGGUGAUGCAGACUGACAAGAGGCUUUUCAUCCACUCCGGGUGCUUUCAGUUCUCACAGAAUAAGUAAGGCCAGGAAAACCUGGUAGCAGGAUGUUUGGCGGACCUUUUCAGAGAGUUGGACUCUGGAGUCGAGCACUGAGCAUGGGCCUUAGGUCGGCAGGUUUGUGUGUGACCGUGACAGAAAACCGGAAAAGACUCCUCUCUUCCUUUUACCUGCACUGUUUGAAGACCUCUGCUUGACAUCUUGCAAACAACUUAUGCUUCCCCUGCCUUCAGCAUUUGGCGAGAAAGCACCAGACAGGCCAUUCAUUUCUCGCCAGCAUCUUGACAUUUCUCAGAUACGCAAGAUCCGGAUCAACACGGCCCUCGGGAGGGUGGCUGAGACGAAGGUGCUCACGCCUGCGCCAAGCCCGUGCUGCUGUAUGCUCGGAUUUUAUGUGAAUGUGAACUUGGGUUCACUAACCACCACCGACUGUCUCACAUCCUCUGAGACAUGUGAGGUGUCAGAAGCGUAUGUCUGCUCGAGUCCGGUAGAGACUCCUGAGACAUUCCUCUCCACCGCUGGUGUCCUGGCUUCUCCACUUCACUUCUGGCCGCAACGAUUAGAAGAUGGAAACGGGAGGGAGGUAGAAAUGGGAUAUAGGUGCUUGCUUGGCAUCUGUCCAUUGUCAAGGAACAUUCCCUGUGUCUUCAGAGCUCAGAUUUAGUGUUGGGAGCCUCACAGGAGGAUGUGAAGUUGUGUUAUCCGAACCCAGGACUGUUCUCCACAUGCACUGAAAGUUACAGAAGGACGGAGCUGUGAAUUGCUGCUUUGGAAGGAAACCGAGAGCUAGCCUGUGGACAGUAUCCAGGAGGAAUCUGUGUAAAAUGCCAAUGAAAAUACUCCCAGUCAAAACAUGAGGUGUGUGGGCGAGCUGCGAACAAAGAAGACGUCAUCACAUUGAAGGCUCAACGUGCCAAGCGAGAAAGAUGACCGAUAGGCAGAUGAAGCACCCAACUGCACAGGCUAAAGGCGGACUCCGAAACAGAAGGCUUUCAAAGGGAAAGGAUUUGCAAAGACAAGAAGGAAGUCAGAUUUCAGAAAGAUCUGCUCCCCCAGUAGAGAACCUGGUAAGCAUUUGAUUCAAGAAACCGUGAAGUUAUCAAGGUUUCCAAGUUUAUAUCCGUGUGUUAAUGCUGGCAACAGACAACUUCCUCACGUGACGUUAUAGUCCCAAAGACCAAGUCAUAGUCUCAGAUGCCAACAUAACAAGAUCAGGAGCGGAAUUGCUCUUGUUUGGAAACCAGGUUUAUGGGAUGUUCACUAUUUUAAGAGCUUGGAGACCCAAGCCAGUUAGGGUGGUCCUGUUAUUUUUAAUUUAGCUCAGAAUGCAAAGUGCUUUACUUUUUUCCUUAUUGCCGUCUCUGAAGUGCUUAGUCGUGUUGGGAGUAGAGUCAUGUAUCAGUGUUGGCUUCCUGCUUCCCUCUUUUGGUCAAGUUCCUGCCAUUAAGAUGUGGAUUUGAUAGCAGGGUUGGCCUGUGGUGGUGGUGGUGAUUGUUGUUUUUAAAUUCAGUAUCAUUAAUUGUUUUUGUGUGUGUCCUUUGACUUAUUUGUAUAGGAGUAACUAGAGUUGUUUUCAUAGAAGAUCCUUUGAAUGGUUAUCAAAAAUGCAGUCACAUCAUAUGGAGGUCUAAAACUCUGCUUUUUGGGGGGAUUUUGUUCAGCCCGUAGCCUUAUAAUUGCCUUUCAUGUUCAGAAGUAUUUUACUUCCUUUAUCAGAUCUGUUGGGAUCGAGAACUGAGAAAUUAAUCUACUCUACCAGGUCACCCUGAAGUAACUAUGACUGUAAGGGUCCCCAUGGUAGACUGUUCCUGGCCUGCAAGCAACAAGCUCAAAAUAUGUAUAAGGGGAGGAUCUCAUCAGCCAUAGAGCAGACACCAGGCAACUUUUCCUGGGAGGAAUUUACGGAUACCUUUUCCACAUGUGAAUCAGCCCUGAAGAGUGGGUUUUUGAUGGGAUGUCUAGGUGGCUCAGUUGGUUAAGUGUCUGACUUUGGCUCAGGUCACGAACUAAUGGUUUGUGAGUUUGAGCCCCGCGUCAGGCUCUGUGCUGACAGCUCAGAGCCCGGAGCCUGCUUCGGAUUCUGUGUCUCCCUCUCUCUCUCUGCUUCUCCCCCACUCAUACUCUGUCUCUCUGUCUCUCUGUCUUUCUCUCUCUCUCAAAAAUAAAUAAACAUUUAAAAAAAAAGGUGGCCUUUUGAUACUUAAUUCCAGAAUAAUUAAACAUGUAAAUGUAUAAAGGUAAGACCUUUAAACAUUUAGAAAUAGAAGACUAUCUUAUCUUUGUGUACAGAAAAAGUGCUUAAGACACAAAAAGCUCAAAUCAGAAAGAUUGAUGUAUCUGCCUAUGUUAUAAAUUUUUAACGUUUGUUUAUUUUCUCGGGAAAGAGAGACAGAAUGUGAGUGGAGGAGGGGCAGAGAGAGAGGGAGACACAGAAUCUGAAGCAGUCUCCAGGCUCUGUGCCGUCAGCACAGAGCCUGAUGCAGGGCUCAAACCCACAAAGGAUGGGAUCAUGACCUGGGCUGAAGUCGGAGGCUUAACCGACUGAGCCACCCAGGUGCCCCUACAUCUGCCUAUAUUAUAGUUAAGAACUUCUGUUCAUCAAGCGAUGCCAACAAGGAAGUGCAAAAACAGUCUACAAACUGGGAGAAGAUAUCUGCAACACCUGUCGCUGGCAAAGAAGAUAGUAUUCAGAUUAAUACUCUGAAACAAACAAAAAAAGACAAACAACCGAUGGAAAAACCAUCCAAACAGGUGUUUCACAGGAAGACGAAACACAAAAGGAGAAUAAACAUGAAAAAUUGCUCAACUUCUUUAAGAGAGACAGUGGGGGGAGGGGCAGAGAGAAAGGGAGAGAGAGAAUCUCAAGCAGGUUCUACACUGUCAGCUCAGAGCCUGAUGUGGGGCUUGAUCCCUUGAACCGCGAGAUCAUGACCUGAGCCGAAAUCAAGAGUGGGACGGUUAACUGACUGAGCCACCCAGGCGCCCUAGGUGUCUGACUAUUGAUUAUGACUCAAGUCAUGAUCUCACAGGGUUUGGGGUUCCUGAGUUCGAGCCCCGCAUUGGGCUGUGUGCUGACAGCAUGGACCCUGCUUGGGAUUCUCUCUCUGCUCCUCCCUCACUUGUGCACACACACUCUGUCUCUCAAAAUAAACUUAAAAAAAGACUAUAACAAGAUAACACACAAAACCUACUAAAGUGGCUAAAAUUAAGAAUUCAUAAUCACAAGUCUCAGAGAUGAAUAGGAGCUCUACCAUACUGCUGGUGGGAUGAUAAAUAUACACGAGCACUUUCAUAAAUACUACACAAUUUGGUAAUAUCUUGGUAGUGGAACAUUCACAUACCCUGAAACCCAGCAGUUCCGCCUGUGUGUAUACCAUCAUGACUUUUGCACGUGUGCCUAGGGAGACAUCCAUAAGGACAUUCCACAGCAAGAGUAAAACUUCACCUUUCUACCUUGCUUUCUGAAAGCAUUCGAUAAACGCCGAGGUCUGCAUCUCUGCCCCAGAGCUGAAGUCACCUAGAAAGCUCAUUCUGCAUAAUUCCUUGAGGAAGUGCUUAAGAUUGAACAAAGGAAAUGUUCAUAAAACUACUCAUUCUUUUUUUAUUCCGGAUAAUUUUAAAUACCAUCCGACUAGCACGUCACCUCCAAUGAAAUAUCAACUGAAAAUAGGUGUUUCUUCUUCCUUUCUAGACUGUUUAAUAUUGUUCUCCUGUGCCAUUGUCUAGUUCCAAAAGCAGCAGCUUAGUGUGAAAUUUGUGGGAAGGAUGCUAUUCAGAGUUUAAUUUCAUUAUGCAGUAACCCAGUGAAAAUCCAGUAGAAAGAAUGUAGAUAUUUCUAGAAGAUGCUAAAAACUAUUCGAAAAAGGAGGAAUGCAUAGACGUAAUUUCUCUAAAAUAGAGCAUUCAAUCAUUAGAGUUGGAAAUUGAAUAAAUGAAAGGAUGAUUGAAUGAAUGGUUGAUUCAAAAUGCAUCAUUAGUAAAUGGGAAGAAUAGACUAUGUUGCUGGGUCCUAAAAAUAUUCCUCUAAGGAAUCAUUAGGAUUAUAUGGGAGACUUUAAAAAAAUAAUACCCAAGCCCCAGUUAAAUUGAAUCACAAUCUCUAACCUUCUUAGCCAUUAGUAUUUCUUAAAAGGACUUAGCCAUUAGUAUUUUGUAGAAGCUCCCAGGUAAUUCUAAACGAUAACAGCUUUGUGAACCACAGAGCCAUCGCCUGUACUCCAAGUGGGGUCCAAAGACAACAUCAUUGGGAUGUUGUUAGAAUUUGGAAUCUUGGCCCUGGCCCAGACAUACUGAAUCAGAGUCUACAGUUUGACAAAGUCCCCAGGUGAUGUCUAACAUAAAGUUUGAGAAGCUCUGGGUAAUCAGGAUUGCUUUCGUUUCUGCAUGCCAUUUUGCUACAUCUUCGAUCAAGAGGUUGGGGAAAGACUGGGGAAAGGUCUUUCUUUUUAAGAUUCUUGUUCCCACUUUAAUCUGGAGGCAACUCACAUCACCAUUUUGAUAAAUCUGAUCAUAAGGAAAUAAUCAGAUAAACAAGUACAUGAAAAGUGCUCAGCAUCACUCGUCAUCAGAUAAAUGCAAUCAAACCCAAAAUGAAAUAUCACCUUACACCAGUCAGAAUAGCUAGUAUCGAAAAGACAAGAAAUAACAAGUAUUGGCAAGAAUGUGGAGAAAAGGUAACCCUCGUGCACUGUUGGUGGGAGUAUAAAUUGGUGCAGCCACUGUGGAAAACGGUAUGGAGUUUCCUCGAAAAGAAAAGAAAAAAGAAAAGAAAAGAAAAGAA
Long non-coding RNA from Acinonyx jubatus (cheetah), 7855 nucleotides. RefSeq lists it as uncharacterized. Lineage: Eukaryota; Metazoa; Chordata; Mammalia; Carnivora; Felidae. The record is from RefSeq and is a predicted model, not a curated record. The transcript has 3 exons.